Molecule: unclassified non-coding RNA, 1802 nt
Filed under: Hevea brasiliensis (rubber tree)
Lineage: Eukaryota; Viridiplantae; Streptophyta; Magnoliopsida; Malpighiales; Euphorbiaceae
Source: RNAcentral
AAUGACCUCCAUGAACCACAGAAAUUGAACUCAGAAGAGGGGCAGAAGGUUUCAUGUAAACCACGUAAAGAACUCAGAAGACAACAAGUUGCACUGCAUCUUGAUGAUGGUCCUAAUGAAUCACAGAAUAUGGAGCUACAAGACGAACUCAAGGUUCCAGACUCGUUGCAGAAAGAGAAGAAAUUAUCUGCUAAAGUGAAUUCACAGGCAGAGUUGAAAGAGCCAGAAGAAAAACUAAAUACAGAGGAGCUCAAUGUGUCAGAAUCUUCACAGAAAGAAAAGGAAUUUUCUACUGAUGUCAAUUUGCAAGCUGAGUUAAAAGGACAAGGACAAGAAGAAAAACUUAAUCCUGAAGAUCUCAAGGUUUCAGGUAGAACACAUGAAGAAUCCAGAGGACAAGGAAGUGCAUUGGGUCCUAAUGGCAUUCUCGAUGAACCACAGAAUGUGAAGCCAGAUGGUAAGAUCGAGGUUUCACUUUCUUCACAGAAAAUAAAGGCUACAGAAGAGAAAAAGGAGGAAGAGACAAAAGAAGAUGAUCUCAGGAACUCUACCAGAAAUCACAGAGAAGAUGCAAGUCUGCCGCAGACAAGUGAUGAACCUGAUGAUCCUAAGGAGAAAUCUCAUGACAUGAACAUGGAGGAAGAUAAGCAAGAUUCACCCAAGGCUUUGGGCAAUCUCCUUCUUGUUGAAACACAGAAGGGAACAGAGCAAGAUGAUGAGCCAGACUGGAAGCAUUUGUUCAUGAAUGGUAUCGGAAAUAGAGAAAAAACUCUGCUGAGUGAGUAUACUGCAAUUCUUCGAAACUACAAAGAAAUCAAGAAGAGACUUGCCGAAGCAGAAAACAAAAAUGGAGAUGGCCUCUAUGAAACAAUGGUGCGGUUAAAAGAACUGAGGAGUGCUAAUGCAAAGAAGGAUGAACAGAUUAAAAUCUUAAAUCAGAAGCUGAGCCUUCUCCAAACAGGCUUGGGUGAAGAUGAUUUAUCUGAUAAAUCAACCUCGACAGAAUCCCAAAGAUUAGAGAGACAAGAAGUAUAUGAUGUCAAGGCGAUCAUGAUGGACGAGCCAGAAAUUUCACCAAUUGAGAAAAAAUUCCGGAUGAGCAUUGAUGAACUGCUAGGGGAGAACUUAGAUUUCUGGUUAAGAUUCAGUUCUACAUUGUACCAAAUUCAGAAAUUUGAAACUGAAAUCAAAGAUUUACAGUCUGAAUUGUUGAAACUUGAGGAAAAAAAGAAGCAAGAUGGUAACACAACUGCAAAGUAUUCUCUGAAAUCAGAUGCAAAACCAUUAUACAAGCACCUACGAGAGAUUCACAUUGAAUUAGCGGUCUGGUUGGAAAAAAGUGUGCUACUGAAAGAUGACCUGAAGAGCAGAUUCUCAUCCUUGUGUGACAUUCAAGAAGAAAUAUCUGCUGCUUUGAAGGAGAGCGCUGAAGAUGAUGACUUCAAGUUUACGAGCUACCAAGCUGCAAAGUUCCAAGGCGAGAUUUUGAACAUGAAACAAGAGAAUAACAAGGUUGCAGAUGAAUUGCAGGCUGGCUUGGAUCAUGUUACUACACUCCAGUUAGAAGUUGAAAACACUCUGGCAAAGUUGAAUGAGGAAUUCAAACUUGCUGGAUCAAAGAAUCACCAAAAUAUCCAACUGGAACGCUCAGACAGCCGAAAUCGAGUUCCUUUGAGGUCAUUUAUCUUUGGUGCAAAACCAAAAAAGCAAAAGCAUUCAAUCUUCUCUUGCGUCCACCCUGUACUGCAAAGGAAAUACAAUGGUUUCAAGGCAGGGAUUAAUGUUUGAAUUGAUUGCUUUAG